GAUAGUUACCUAGGUUAGUACCACCUGGGUGUGGGUUGGCGUAAAGGCCGAGCCCGGCAUAGAUUGGCCUUCAGGCCAAGGCCAACAUGAACACCCUCCAUGCAACCAGUAGAGGUUGGUCGCAUGGACCUCCCUGGUGGAUUGGAGGUCUGCCUUUCCUCGCGCCACACUGGUUUAUUGAAGGUAAGUCUUUCUUCAGACCUCCCUGCUUGACUUGAGGUAAGUCUGUCUUCAGACCUCCCUGCUUGAUUUGAGGUCUGCCUUUCCUCGCGCCACACUGGUUUAUUGAAGGUAAGUCUUUCUUCAGACCUUCCUGCUUGAUUUGAGGUCUGCCUUUCCUCGCGCCACACUGGUUUAUUGAAGGUAAGUCUUUCUUCAGACCUUCCUGCUUGAUUUGAGGUAAGUCUUUCUUCAGACCUCCCUGCUUGACUUGAGGUAAGUCUUUCUUCAGACCUUCCUGCUUGAUUUGAGGUAAGUCUUUCUUCAGACCUCCCUGCUUGAUUUGAGGUAAGUCUUUCUUCAGACCUCCCUGCUUGAUUUGAGGUAAGUCUUUCUUCAGACCUCCCUGCUUGAUUUGAGGUAAGUCUUUCU
Molecule: long non-coding RNA, 591 nt
Organism: Gambusia affinis (western mosquitofish)
Lineage: Eukaryota; Metazoa; Chordata; Actinopteri; Cyprinodontiformes; Poeciliidae
Exons: 3
Source: RefSeq, a predicted model, not a curated record